Sinocyclocheilus anshuiensis is the source of this 115-nucleotide long non-coding RNA. RefSeq lists it as uncharacterized. NCBI's taxonomy places the organism in Eukaryota, Metazoa, Chordata, Actinopteri, Cypriniformes, Cyprinidae. The transcript is spliced from 3 exons. The record is from RefSeq and is a predicted model, not a curated record.
CGCGUGUUUUGGCAGGGGGUUUCCCUGGUAAAAUUCGCAUUCCAGGGGCUAAAUAUCAGGUUAAUGAGGUCGUUUUUCAACACGCGGACAUGAAAAACCUGAAACACAUAAAACA